GAGUUCCUACAAAGGUUUUGGACAGUGAUUUUAACCCUAACGCCAUUAAGCUUAAACCUUACCCUGGCCUUUAAAUCUAAUACCCGGGUAUUACCACAGGAAGCCCGAAAACCCCAAAUAUUUUUUUUUCCUUUUUUAAUAUUUUUUUGGUCUAAGUAACUCCAAAAGGUUGGAAAAGAGUUCCUACAAAGGUUUUGGACAGUGAUUUUAACCCUAACGCCAAAAACCUUAAACCUUACCAUAGCCCCAUAACCUAAUACCGGGUAUUACUUUUAGGAAGCCUGAACACCCCAAAUAUUUUUUUUUCAUUUUUCUUUUUUUUUUUGGUCUAACUAACUCCAAAAGGUUCGAAAAGAGUUCCUACAAAGGUUUUGGACAGUGAUUUUAACCCUAACGCCAUAAACCUUAAACCUUACCCUAGCCCCAUAACCUAAUACCUGGGUAUUACAUUCAGGAAGCACAAAAACCCCAAAUAUUUUUUUUUCAUUUUUCUUUUUUUUUUUGGUCUAACUAACUCCAAAAGGUUGGGAAAGAGUUCCUACAAAGGUUUUGGACAGUGAUUUUAACCCUAAUGCCAAAAACCUUAAACCUUACCAUAGCCCCAUAACCUAAUACCCGGGUAUUACUUUGAGGAAGCCUGAACACCCCAAAUAUUUUUUUUCAUUUUUCGUUUUUUUUUUGGUCUAAGUAACUCCAAAAGGUUGGAAAAGAGUUCCUACAAAGGUUUUGGACAGUGAUUUUAACCCUAACGCCAUUAAGCUUAAACCUUACCCUGGCCUUUAAAUCUAAUACCCGGGUAUUACCACAGGAAGCCCGAAAACCCCAAAUAUUUUUUUCCUUUUAAUAUUUUUUUGGUCUAAGUAACUCCAAAAGGUUGGAAAAGAGUUCCUACAAAGGUUUUGGACAGUGAUUUUAACCCUAACGCCAAAAACCUUAAACCUUACCAUAGCCCCAUAACCUAAUACCGGGGUAUUACUUUUAGGAAGCCUGAACACCCCAAAUAUUUUUUUUUCAUUUUUCUUUUUUUUUUGGUCUAACUAACUCCAGAAGGUUCGAAAAGAGUUCCUACAAAGGUUUUGGACAGUGAUUUUAACCCUAACGCCAUAAAACUUAAACCUUACCCUAGCCCCAUAACCUAAUACCUGGGUAUUACAUUCAGGAAGCACAAAAACCCCAAACAUUUUUUUUUCAUUUUUCAUUUUUUUUUGGUCUAACUAACUCCAAAAGGUUGGGAAAGAGUUCCUACAAAGGUUUUGGACAGUGAUUUUAACCCUAACGCCAAAAACCUUAAACCUUACCAUAGCCCCAUAACCUAAUACCCGGGUAUUACUUUUAGGAAGCCUGAACACCCCAAAUAUUUUUUUUUCAUUUUUCUUUUUUUUUUUGGUCUAAGUAACUCCAAAAGGUUGGAAAAGAGUUCCUACAAAGGUUUUGGACAGUGAUUUUAACCCUAACGCCAUUAAGCUUAAACCUUACCCUAGCCUUUAAAUCUAAUACCCGGGUAUUACCACAGGAAGCCCGAACACCCCAAAUAUAUUUAUUUCUUUUUUCAUAUUUUUUUGGUCUAAGUAACUCCAAAAGGUUGGAAAAGAGUUCCUACAAAGGUUUUGGACAGUGAUUUUAACCCUAACGCCGAAAACCUUAAACCUUACCAUAGCCCCAUAACCUAAUACCCGGGUAUUACUUUUAGGAAGCCCGAACACCCAAUAUAUAUUUUUUUUCAUUUUACAUUUUUGUUGGUGUAGCCAACUCCAAAAGGUUGGAAAAGAGUUCUUACAAAGGUUUUGGACAGUGAUUUUAACCCUAAUGCCAAAAACCUUAAACCUUACCAUAGCCCCAUAACCUAAUACCCGGGUAUUACUUUUAGGAAGCCUGAACACCCCAAAUAUUUUUUUUUCAUUUUUCUUUUUUUUUUUUGGUCUAACUAACUCCAAAAGGUUCGGAAAAGAGUUCCUACAAAGGUUUUGGACAGUGAUUUUAACCCUAAUGCCAUAAACCUUAAACCUUACCAUAGCCCCAUAACCUAAUACCCGGGUAUUACUUUGAGGAAGCCUGAACACCCCAAAUAUUUUUUUUUCUUUUUUCAUAUUUUUUUGGUCUAAGUAACUCCAAAAGGUUGGAAAAGAGUUCCUACAAAGGUUUUGGACAGUGAUUUUAACCCUAACGCCAAAAAACUUAAACCUAACCCUAGCCUUAAAAUCUAAUACCCGGGUAUUACAUUCAGGAAGCCCGAAAACCCCAAACAUUUUUUUUUUCAUUUUUCUUUUUUUUUUGGUCUAACUAACUCCAAAAGGUUGGGAAAGAGUUCCUACAAAGGUUUUGGACAGUGAUUUUAAACCUAAUGCCAAAAACUUUAAACCUUACCAUAGCCCCAUAACCUAAUACCCGGGUAUUACUUUUAGGAAGCCUGAACACCCCAAAUAUUUUUUUUUCAUUUUUCAUUUUUUUUUUUUUGGUCUAACUAACUCCAAAAGGUUGGAAAAGAGUUCCUACAAAGGUUUUGGACAGUGAUUUUAAACCUAAUGCCAUUAAGCUUAAACCUUACCAUAGCCCCAUAACCUAAUACCCGGGUAUUACCUUCAGGAAGCCCGAACACCCCAAAUAUUUUUUUUUUUCAUUUUACAUUUUUGUUGGUGUAACCAACUCCAAAAGGUUGGAAAAGAGUUCCUACAAAGGUUUUGGACAGUGAUUUUAACCCUAAUGCCAAAAACAUUAAACCUUACCAUAGCCCCAUAACCUAAUACCCGGGUAUUACCUUCAGGAAGCCCGAACACCCCAAAUAUUUUUUUUUUUCAUUUUACAUUUUUGUUGGUGUAACCAACUCCAAAAGGUUGGUGUUACACCCCACCCUUAGGCGGCCCUAUGGGGCUAACAACAAUCCUCAACUUUUUACCCAUCAAAUUAACCAAAACACCUUCAAAAGUUUAACACCUGAUUUAUUGUGAAAAAACAACAAAAUUGCAAACUAAACACAAAGCACCCACAACACAAAUGAGAGGCAGCAGGGCAGCAGUUCCCCACCAAAUGCCUCUCCAGAUUGCAGGCAGCUCUGGGCUUUUAGACUCCCAGCACCAGGUGAGUCUGAUUGUCACUCAAGUGAUUUCACCUGGGCAGCUAUGGAGAGACAAAAGAGGAAAACACAUGCAAAACAAACACACAGCCGUAACAGUUGGAAAAGAGUUCCUACAAAUGUUUUGGACAGUGAUUUUAACCCUAACGCCAUAAAACUUAAACCUUACCCUAGCCUUAAAAUCUAAUACCCGGGUAUUACUUUUAGGAAGCCCGAACACCCCAUAUAUAUAUUUUUUUCAUUUUUCUUUUUUUUUUGGUCUAACUAGCUCCAAAAAAUUGGAAAAGAGUUCCUACAAAGGUUUUGGACAGUGAUUUUAACCCUAACGCCAAAAACCUUAAACCUUACCCUAGCCUUAAAAUCUAAUACCCGGGUAUUACAUUCAGGAAGCCCGAAAACCCCAAACAUUUUUUUUUCAUUUUUCAUUUUUUUUUGGUCUAACUAACUCCAAAAGGUUGGGAAAGAGUUCCUACAAAGGUUUUGGACAGUGAUUUUAAACCCUAAUGCCAAAAACUUUAAACCUUACCAUAGCCCCAUAACCUAAUACCCGGGUAUUACUUUUAGGAAGCCCGAACACCCCAUAUAUAUUUUUUUUCAUUUUACAUUUUUGUUGGUGUAACCAACUCCAAAAGGUUGGAAAAGAGUUCUUACAAAGGUUUUGGACAGUGAUUUUAACCCUAACGCCAAAAACCUUAAACCUUACCAUAGCCCCAUAACCUAAUACCCGGGUAUUACUUUUAGGAAGCCUGAACACCCCAAAUAUUUUUUUUUCAUUUUUCGUUUUUUUUUUUGGUCUAACUAACUCCAAAAGGUUCGAAAAGAGUUCCUACAAAGGUUUUGGACAGUGAUUUUAACCCUAACGCCAUUAAGCUUAAACCUUACCCUAGCCUUUAAAUCUAAUACCCGGGUAUUACCACAGGAAGCCCGAAAACCCCAAAUAUUUUUUUUUCCUUUUUUAAUAUUUUUUUGGUCUAAGUAACUCCAAAAGGUUGGAAAAGAGUUCCUACAAAGGUUUUGGACAGUGAUUUUAACCCUAACGCCAAAAACCUUAAACCUUACCAUAGCCCCAUAACCUAAUACCCGGGUAUUACUUUUAGGAAGCCUGAACACCCCAAAUAUUUUUUUUUCUUUUUUUUUUUUUGGUCUAACUAACUCCAGAAGGUUCGAAAAGAGUUCCUACAAAGGUUUUGGACAGUGAUUUUAACCCUAACGCCAUAAAACUUAAACCUUACCCUAGCCCCAUAACCUAAUACCUGGGUAUUACAUUCAGGAAGCACAAAAACCCCAAACAUUUUUUUUUCAUUUUUCAUUUUUUUUUGGUCUAACUAACUCCAAAAGGUUGGGAAAGAGUUCCUACAAAGGUUUUGGACAGUGAUUUUAACCCUAAUGCCAUAAACCUUAAACCUUACCAUAGCCCCAUAACCUAAUACCCGGGUAUUACUUUUAGGAAGCCUGAACACCCCAAAUAUUUUUUUUUCAUUUUUCGUUUUUUUUUUUGGUCUAAGUAACUCCAAAAGGUUGGAAAAGAGUUCCUACAAAGGUUUUGGACAGUGAUUUUAACCCUAACGCCAUUAAGCUUAAACCUUACCCUAGCCUUUAAAUCUAAUACCCGGGUAUUACCACAGGAAGCCCGAACACCCCAAAUAUUUUUUUUUUUUUUCAUAUUUUUUUGGUCUAAGUAACUCCAAAAGGUUGGAAAAGAGUUCCUACAAAGGUUUUGGACAGUGAUUUUAACCCUAACGCCAAAAACCUUAAACCUUACCAUAGCCCCAUAACCUAAUACCCGGGUAUUACUUUUAGGAAGCCCGAACACCCCAUAUAUUUUUUUUUUCAUUUUACAUUUUUGUUGGUGUAGCCAACUCCAAAAGGUUGGAAAAGAGUUCUUACAAAGGUUUUGGACAGUGAUUUUAACCCUAAUGCCAAAAACCUUAAACCUUACCAUAGCCCCAUAACCUAAUACCCGGGUAUUACUUUUAGGAAGCCUGAACACCCCAAAUAUUUUUUUUUCAUUUUUCGUUUUUUUUUUGGUCUAAGUAACUCCAAAAGGUUGGAAAAGAGUUCCUACAAAGGUUUUGGACAGUGAUUUUAACCCUAACGCCAUUAAGCUUAAACCUUACCCUAGCCUUUAAAUCUAAUACCCGGGUAUUACCACAGGAAGCCCGAACACCCCAAAUAUUUUUUUUUCUUUUUUCAUAUUUUUUUGGUCUAAGUAACUCCAAAAGGUUGGAAAAGAGUUCCUACAAAGGUUUUGGACAGUGAUUUUAACCCUAACGCCAAAAACCUUAAACCUUACCAUAGCCCCAUAACCUAAUACCCGGGUAUUACUUUUAGGAAGCCCGAACACCCCAUAUAUUUUUUUUUUCAUUUUACAUUUUUGUUGGUGUAGCCAACUCCAAAAGGUUGGAAAAGAGUUCUUACAAAGGUUUUGGACAGUGAUUUUAACCCUAAUGCCAAAAACCUUAAACCUUACCAUAGCCCCAUAACCUAAUACCCGGGUAUUACUUUUAGGAAGCCUGAACACCCCAAAUAUUUUUUUUUCAUUUUUCGUUUUUUUUUUGGUCUAACUAACUCCAAAAGGUUCUAAAAGAGUUCCUACAAAGGUUUUGGACAGUGAUUUUAACCCUAACGCCAUUAAGCUUAAACCUUACCCUGGCCUUUAAAUCUAAUACCCGGGUAUUACCACAGGAAGCCCGAAAACCCCAAAUAUUUUUUUUUCCUUUUUUAAUAUUUUUUUGGUCUAAGUAACUCCAAAAGGUUGGAAAAGAGUUCCUACAAAGGUUUUGGACAGUGAUUUUAACCCUAACGCCAAAAACCUUAAACCUUACCAUAGCCCCAUAACCUAAUACCGGGGUAUUACUUUUAGGAAGCCUGAACACCCCAAAUAUUUUUUUUUCAUUUUUCUUUUUUUUUUGGUCUAACUAACUCCAAAAGGUUCGAAAAGAGUUCCUACAAAGGUUUUGGACAGUGAUUUUAACCCUAACGCCAUAAAACUUAAACCUUACCCUAGCCCCAUAACCUAAUACCUGGGUAUUACAUUCAGGAAGCACAAAAACCCCAAACAUUUUUUUUUCAUUUUUCAUUUUUUUUUGGUCUAACUAACUCCAAAAGGUUGGGAAAGAGUUCCUACAAAGGUUUUGGACAGUGAUUUUAACCCUAAUGCCAAAAACCUUAAACCUUACCAUAGCCCCAUAACCUAAUACCCGGGUAUUACUUUUAGGAAGCCUGAACACCCCAAAUAUUUUUUUUCAUUUUUCGUUUUUUUUUUGGUCUAAGUAACUCCAAAAGGUUGGAAAAGAGUUCCUACAAAGGUUUUGGACAGUGAUUUUAACCCUAACGCCAUUAAGCUUAAACCUUACCCUAGCCUUUAAAUCUAAUACCCGGGUAUUACCACAGGAAGCCCGAACACCCCAAAUAUUUUUUUUUCUUUUUUCAUAUUUUUUUGGUCUAAGUAACUCCAAAAGGUUGGAAAAGAGUUCCUACAAAGGUUUUGGACAGUGAUUUUAACCCUAACGCCAAAAACCUUAAACCUUACCAUAGCCCCAUAACCUAAUACCCGGGUAUUACUUUUAGGAAGCCCGAACACCCCAUAUAUUUUUUUUUUCAUUUUACAUUUUUGUUGGUGUAGCCAACUCCAAAAGGUUGGAAAAGAGUUCUUACAAAGGUUUUGGACAGUGAUUUUAACCCUAAUGCCAAAAACCUUAAACCUUACCAUAGCCCCAUAACCUAAUACCCGGGUAUUACUUUUAGGAAGCCUGAACACCCCAAAUAUUUUUUGUUCAUUUUUCUUUUUUUUUUGGUCUAACUAACUCCAAAAGGUUGGGAAAGAGUUCCUACAAAGGUUUUGGACAGUGAUUUUAACCCUAAUGCCAUAAACCUUAAACCUUACCAUAGCCCCAUAACCUAAUACCCGGGUAUUACUUUGAGGAAGCCUGAACACCCCAAAUAUUUUUUUCAUUUUUCGUUUUUUUUUGGUCUAAGUAACUCCAAAAGGUUGGAAAAGAGUUCCUACAAAGGUUUUGGACAGUGAUUUUAACCCUAACGCCAUUAAGCUUAAACCUUACCCUGGCCUUUAAAUCUAAUACCCGGGUAUUACCACAGGAAGCCCGAAACCCCAAAUAUUUUUUUUUUUUUUAAUAUUUUUUUGGUCUAAGUAACUCCAAAAGGUUGGAAAAGAGUUCCUACAAAGGUUUUGGACAGUGAUUUUAACCCUAACGCCAAAAACGUUAAACCUUACCAUAGCCCCAUAACCUAAUACCGGGGUAUUACUUUUAGGAAGCCUGAACACCCCAAAUAUUUUUUUUUCAUUUUUCUUUUUUUUUUUGGUCUAACUAACUCCAGAAGGUUCGAAAAGAGUUCCUACAAAGGUUUUGGACAGUGAUUUUAACCCUAACGCCAUAAAACUUAAACCUUACCCUAGCCCCAUAACCUAAUACCUGGGUAUUACAUUCAGGAAGCACAAAAACCCCAAACAUUUUUUUUUCAUUUUUCAUUUUUUUUUUGGUCUAACUAACUCCAAAAGGUUGGGAAAGAGUUCCUACAAAGGUUUUGGACAGUGAUUUUAACCCUAACGCCAAAAACCUUAAACCUUACCAUAGCCCCAUAACCUAAUACCCGGGUAUUACUUUUAGGAAGCCUGAACACCCCAAAUAUUUUUUUUUCAUUUUUCUUUUUUUUUUUGGUCUAAGUAACUCCAAAAGGUUGGAAAAGAGUUCCUACAAAGGUUUUGGACAGUGAUUUUAACCCUAACGCCAUUAAGCUUAAACCUUAGCCUAGCCUUUAAAUCUAAUACCCGGGUAUUACCACAGGAAGCCCGAACACCCCAAAUAUAUUUAUUUCUUUUUUCAUAUUUUUUUGGUAUAAGUAACUCCAAAAGGUUGGAAAAGAGUUCCUACAAAGGUUUUGGACAGUGAUUUUAACCCUAACGCCGAAAACCUUAAACCUUACCAUAGCCCCAUAACCUAAUACCCGGGUAUUACUUUUAGGAAGCCCGAACACCCAAUAUAUAUUUUUUUUCAUUUUACAUUUUUGUUGGUGUAGCCAACUCCAAAAGGUUGGAAAAGAGUUCUUACAAAGGUUUUGGACAGUGAUUUUAACCCUAAUGCCAAAAACCUUAAACCUUACCAUAGCCCCAUAACCUAAUACCCGGGUAUUACUUUUAGGAAGCCUGAACACCCCAAAUAUUUUUUUUUCAUUUUUCUUUUUUUUUUGGUCUAACUAACUCCAAAAGGUUCGAAAAGAGUUCCUACAAAGGUUUUGGACAGUGAUUUUAACCCUAAUGCCAUAAACCUUAAACCUUACCAUAGCCCCAUAACCUAAUACCCGGGUAUUACUUUGAGGAAGCCUGAACACCCCAAAUAUUUUUUUUUCUUUUUUCAUAUUUUUUUGGUCUAAGUAACUCCAAAAGGUUGGAAAAGAGUUCCUACAAAGGUUUUGGACAGUGAUUUUAACCCUAACGCCAAAAAACUUAAACCUAACCCUAGCCUUAAAAUCUAAUACCCGGGUAUUACAUUCAGGAAGCCCGAAAACCCCAAACAUUUUUUUUUCAUUUUUCAUUUUUUUUUGGUCUAACUAACUCCAAAAGGUUGGGAAAGAGUUCCUACAAAGGUUUUGGACAGUGAUUUUAAACCUAAUGCCAAAAACUUUAAACCUUACCAUAGCCCCAUAACCUAAUACCCGGGUAUUACUUUUAGGAAGCCUGAACACCCCAAAUAUUUUUUUUUCAUUUUUCAUUUUUUUUUUUUUGGUCUAACUAACUCCAAAAGGUUGGAAAAGAGUUCCUACAAAGGUUUUGGACAGUGAUUUUAAACCUAAUGCCAUUAAGCUUAAACCUUACCAUAGCCCCAUAACCUAAUACCCGGGUAUUACCUUCAGGAAGCCCGAACACCCCAAAUAUUUUUUUUUUCAUUUUACAUUUUUGUUGGUGUAACCAACUCCAAAAGGUUGGAAAAGAGUUCCUACAAAGGUUUUGGACAGUGAUUUUAACCCUAAUGCCAAAAACAUUAAACCUUACCAUAGCCCCAUAACCUAAUACCCGGGUAUUACCUUCAGGAAGCCCGAACACCCCUAAUAUUUUUUUUUCAUUUUACAUUUUUGUUGGUGUAACCAACUCCAAAAGGUUGGUGUUACACCCCACCCUUAGGCGGCCCUAUGGGGCUAACAACAAUCCUCAACUUUUUACCCAUCAAAUUAACCAAAACACCUUCAAAAGUUUAACACCUGAUUUAUUGUGAAAAAACAACAAAAUUGCAAACUAAACACAAAGCACCCACAACACAAAUGAGAGGCAGCAGGGCAGCAGUUCCCCACCAAAUGCCUCUCCAGACUGCAGGCAGCUCUGGGCUUUUAGACUCCCAGCACCAGGUGAGUCUGAUUGUCACUCAAGUGAUUUCACCUGGGCAGCUAUGGAGAGACAAAAGAGGAAAACACAUGCAAAACAAACACACAGCCGUAACAGUUGGAAAAGAGUUCCUACAAAUGUUUUGGACAGUGAUUUUAACCCUAACGCCA
This is a non-coding RNA of Xyrichtys novacula (pearly razorfish), 9577 nucleotides long. The record is from the annotation of a GenBank genome assembly. Lineage: Eukaryota; Metazoa; Chordata; Actinopteri; Labriformes; Labridae.